UUACGGUGAAAAGGAUAAGACUCAUCAGCCUCGAUUUUCUUGUGUCUUGAAAUGCAGGGGAACGACAUUGUAAGCUUGGUUAGUUUGAUGUCCUACGGAGAAGCAAAAUUGGUUGUGCCCACCGCCAGAAGAUUCAUCUUUGUACUCUCUUCUCCAUUUAUGAGUGCAACGAGAGGCAGAGUUAGUCAUGGUGAUGAUCAUAUUGUAUUCUUGUGAUGCUUGCAGACUGGGAGUGUAUUUAUACUUCAUGCUUAUGAGUUAUGAUGAAUCAUUUCUAUGGCA
This is a long non-coding RNA of Triticum dicoccoides, 282 nucleotides long. RefSeq lists it as uncharacterized. The record is from RefSeq and is a predicted model, not a curated record. Lineage: Eukaryota; Viridiplantae; Streptophyta; Magnoliopsida; Poales; Poaceae. The transcript is spliced from 2 exons.